This 498-nucleotide ribosomal RNA is filed under the name uncultured bacterium. RNAcentral describes it as "partial 16S ribosomal RNA". It matches the Rfam family "Bacterial small subunit ribosomal RNA", at positions 30 to 523 of the family's 1533-position model. The record is from RNAcentral.
AUUGAACGCUGGCGGCAUGCCUUACACAUGCAAGUCGAACGGUAACAGGUCUUCGGAUGCUGACGAGUGGCGAACGGGUGAGUAAUACAUCGGAACGUGCCUAGUAGUGGGGGAUAACUACUCGAAAGAGUGGCUAAUACCGCAUGAGAUCUACGGAUGAAAGCAGGGGAUCGCAAGACCUUGUGCUACUAGAGCGGCCGAUGGCAGAUGAGGUAGUUGGUGGGAUAAAAGCUUACCAAGCCGACGAUCUGUAACUGGUCUGAGAGGACGAUCAGCCACACUGGGACUGAGAAACGGCCCAGACUCCUACGGGAGUCAGCAGUGGGGAAUUUUGGACAAUGGGCGCAAGCCUGAUCCAGCAAUGCCGCGUGCAGGAUGAAGGCCUUCGGGUUGUAAACUGCUUUUGUACGGAACGAAAAGCCCCGGGUUAAUACCCUGGGGUCAUGACGGUACCGUAAGAAUAAGCACCGGCUAAUUACGUGCCAGCCGCCGCCGUAA